UUAGCCCUAAACUUAAAUAGUUAUCUAACAAAACUAUUUGCCAGAGAACUACUAGCCACAGCUUAAAACUCAAAGGACUUGGCGGUACUUUAUAUCCAUCUAGAGGAGCCUGUUCUAUAAUCGAUACACCCCGUUCUACCUCACCAUCUCUUGCUAAUACAGUCUAUAUACCGCCAUCUUCAGCAAACCUUAAAAAAGAAACACAGUAAGCAAGAUAAUAAUCAUAAAAACGUUAGGUCAAGGUGUAACCUAUGAGAUGGGAAGCAAUGGGCUACAUUUUCUCUCAGAGAACACUUACGCUACCCUUUAUGAAACCUAAAGGAUCAAGGAGGAUUUAGUAGUAAAU
This 346-nucleotide ribosomal RNA is filed under the name Cricetomys sp. T1666. Its description in RNAcentral is "partial 12S small subunit ribosomal RNA". It matches the Rfam family "Bacterial small subunit ribosomal RNA", at positions 796 to 1343 of the family's 1533-position model. The record is from RNAcentral. Lineage: Eukaryota; Metazoa; Chordata; Mammalia; Rodentia; Nesomyidae. RNAcentral also lists the same sequence under 6 other names.